Molecule: long non-coding RNA, 347 nt
Organism: Sebastes umbrosus (honeycomb rockfish)
Lineage: Eukaryota; Metazoa; Chordata; Actinopteri; Perciformes; Sebastidae
Exons: 3
Source: RefSeq, a predicted model, not a curated record
GAGCUCUUUUGAAGAGUUCUCCUUUCCUUUCUUCCUUUCUGACUCUUGUGCUUGUAAGUGUUUGGUAUGACACUUUGUGCCAAGCUUGUUUGGGUUUGUUUCCUUUAAUGCAAAACAUAGCGCAUUUGUAACAAAAAACACAUUUCAGACAUUUCAUCUGAUAAUAAUGAGUAAUCCACUGUGGACUAGACUAGACUGCAUAAUCUAAUUUGGUGUACUGUAAUCUAAUAUAACUUCUAUUUUAAUUGCAUCCUCACAACAGGGGGUGGGGGACCCCAAACUGUGACCAUCCCCGGCUCAACCAAGCUUUAUCAGCAUCAUGAUAAUGUUGACACAUUAUCAUGAUG